GGGAAUGUANUAGCAAUUGUAUUUGCACUAAAAUUUUUAGUGUGAAAUCGACUAUGUCGAAUAAAAUUCUGGGUAGAAUUAUGAUAAUGACAUAAUCUGUCCAUAAGUCUUGACCAAAUUACGUGCCAGCAGUCGCGGUAAUACGUAGAAGACAAGUGUUAUUCAUCUUUAAUAGGUUUAAAGGGUACUUAGACGGUAAAUAAAGCCUCAAAAAGGUACUAGUUUGCUAGAGUUUUAUGUGAAGGGGUUUUAAAGUACUACUGGUGUAGAGAUGAAAUUCAGUCAUACCUUGGAUGGCACAGGUUAAGGCGAAGGCAUCCUCUUAUGUAAAAACUGACGUUGAAGGACGAAGGCUUUGUGUCUCGAACAGGAUUAGUUACCCUAGUAGUCUAAGCAGACAAUUAUGAAUGUCAUAGAUUAGAUAUAGUUUGAUCUAUAAAUGAAAGUGUAAGCAUUCCACCUCAAGAGUAAUUUGGCAACAUUGGAACUGAAAUCAUUAGACCGUUUCUGAAACCAGUAGUGAAGUAUGUUGUUUAAUUUGAUAGUCCGCAAAAAACCUUACCACAAUUUGAAUAGAUAUAAUUUAUCAUACAAGCGUUGCACGGCUGUUUUUAGUUAAUGUCGUGAGAUUUUGGUUAGUUCCAUUAAAUUAACGUAAACCCUUAUUUUAUUUUUAAAUAAAAUAGUUCACCGCUAGAUUGGAUGUGAUUAACA
This 714-nucleotide ribosomal RNA is filed under the name Cerothallia yarraensis. Its description in RNAcentral is "mitochondrial SSU rRNA". It matches the Rfam family "Bacterial small subunit ribosomal RNA", at positions 401 to 1164 of the family's 1533-position model. Lineage: Eukaryota; Fungi; Ascomycota; Lecanoromycetes; Teloschistales; Teloschistaceae. The record is from RNAcentral.